CCUACGGGAGGCAGCAGUGGGGAAUAUUGCGCAAUGGGCGAAAGCCUGACGCAGCAACGCCGCGUGUGUGAUGAAGGCCUUCGGGUUGUAAAGCACUGUCAGGAGGGGCGAACAGGCAGGUGAGUAACUGCUCCUGCCCCGACGGUACCUCCAGAGGAAGCACCGGCUAACUCCGUGCCAGCAGCCGCGGUAAUACGGAGGGUGCUAGCGUUGUUCGGAAUCAUUGGGCGUAAAGGGCGCGUAGGCGGUCCGUCAAGUCAGGUGUGAAAUCCCUCGGCUCAACUGAGGAAUUGCGCUUGAAACUGGCAGACUGGAGUACGGGAGAGGGAAGCGGAAUUCCGAGUGUAGAGGUGAAAUUCGUAGAUAUUCGGAGGAACACCGGUGGCGAAGGCGGCUUCCUGGACCGAUACUGACGCUGAGGCGCGAAAGCGUGGGGAGCAAACAGGAUUAGAUACCCUGGUAGUCCACGCUGUAAACGAUGAGUGCUAGGUGUCACGGGUAUUGACCCCUGUGGUACCGCAGCUAACGCAUUAAGCACUCCGCCUGGGGAGUACGGCCGCGAGGUUAAAACUCAAAGG
This 578-nucleotide ribosomal RNA is filed under the name uncultured bacterium. Its description in RNAcentral is "bacterial SSU rRNA". It matches the Rfam family "Bacterial small subunit ribosomal RNA", at positions 338 to 907 of the family's 1533-position model. The record is from RNAcentral.